GGGGGAAUUUGCGAUUGUUCAUGUUUUGAGACACAAGCACAGAUUCUGCCCAGCAACAAGUAACGCCCUGUACGGUGCCUUAACGUCCUGCCGCUCCCGUUCAGCGUCCAGGACACUGAUAUUCUCGAAGUCUUGCAGUACAGGGAACCCAGGGAUCCGAAGGCGGCAGCGGCUAGCAUCCAACAGUCACCUGCACUGAAAAAAAGGAUUUUUUUGGCCCUGUAAUUAUUACCUUAAAUAUUAAUUUAAAUUUUACAAGGAUUUAUUAUUUAACUUCUUUUACUCAAAAAUCUCACUCUUUAUUUAAUGCCUUACUUGAUGAUUGUGUGUAACUUUGUAUCCUCACAUUUAUUUGUAAAUAUGAUCACUGACACCAAGUAAUAUUUACAUAACUAAUGUAUUGAUUUUACAACCUGAUACCAGAUAGCAAAAUGUACUUGGGUAAUAGCGUAAACCUGGCCACCUUGUGGCCAUUCUGCGCAUGCGUCAGACUUCCUAAGGCAAAGUUUGAGGGCGAUGUGGAGCCAUAUGGCGUCUAGGAAGCAGAGUCCUCUCUGUAAAACAGCAGCUUUCACCAACUAAGACGCCUGACUGAGAAGAAUAUUGAAGGACAUUGACGCUCAAGAAUUUGGUUUCAAAAGCUUAGACAAGGCUCAGUCUACCAAACCUCAAAGAUCUGCAUACUGGUAGACCUAAGAUCAGCCUCUGGGACAUCAAUCCUGAAAGUUCCUCCAAGGCCACACUUGAGAUGAGCAUCACACGAAUCCUCCACGCACUGAUGGGUCCUGUCACGACUGGGCUUCAAACCCUCCUGACAGCUCUCUUCGUUUUCCUCUUUUCUUGUGUUCCUGUGUCUACGCCCUUAUUUUGCCACUACUUCCUUUGUUCCCCCUCUAGCUUAGUUUCCCCUUGUAUGCUCUAAUUUUGGUACUCAUUUCCUGUCUUGCCUCGUUUCCGUUUCCUACCUGAUGAGAGGAGAAAUAUGAUCUCAGGGAAGAACUAAAUUUGAAACACUGAUAUGCUCGGACUACGGUAAAAAGCCAUAGCAUUUCAGUAUGUGGAAUCAAACUAUGGAAUGGAUUGAGUAAGGACCUCAAACAAUGCACAACGAUGAGCCAAUUCAAGAAACAAUACAAGCAGUUGAUGUUUGCUAAAUACAAGGAUGAAGAGUCUUGAACCAGUCAUGAUGUGCUAUAUAUAUCACUAUAUUGACACUUACUAUGGUACACAU
Molecule: non-coding RNA, 1231 nt
Organism: Doryrhamphus excisus (bluestripe pipefish)
Lineage: Eukaryota; Metazoa; Chordata; Actinopteri; Syngnathiformes; Syngnathidae
Source: RefSeq, a predicted model, not a curated record